ACUAUUAAGGUGUAGCCUUCACUGAGUGUACUUCACCAUGGGUUGUUAACAUAAACCAGAUGAUAAAAUUUAACAUUUAAGAAAUUAAGAUUAUGAUAACAUUCUUUAAUGAGGCUAAUAAAGUGCCAGCAGCCGCGGUCAUACUUUAGCUUACGUGAAGGAUAUACAGGGUAAUAAAUGUGAUUAAUAAAGCUUAUGGUGAAAUAUAAGCCACAAUUUAACUUUACACAUGUUCAAUACAAAAGCUGGUUACAAACAGGGAUUAGAUACCCCUUUAUGCAGCAAGUACACUAAAACCCUAGGCACUAUAGCCAUCAGGUCGAAACCUAACCAAUAUGGCGGUAGUUUAAAAAUUCAGGGGAACUUACUAAGUAAAUGAUAACCACCAAGAUAAUUGACUUUAUUUAACAUUUUACAUACCGUCGUCGACAGAUUUACUAUGAUAGUACAUCAACCAAUAAAAAUAAAAGGACAGAUCAAGGUGUAGACAAUGAUAAUGUUUUAGCGAGUUACUAUAAUAAAUCAAUUCACCCCUCAAUUAUAAUAUUGAUACCUGUAGGACUUGAAAGUAAUAUAUAUUAAGUAUAGUAUAUGAAUAUCCCUUAAACUGUG
RNAcentral lists this ribosomal RNA (612 nucleotides) under Caucasotachea vindobonensis. RNAcentral describes it as "partial small subunit ribosomal RNA". The record is from RNAcentral. Lineage: Eukaryota; Metazoa; Mollusca; Gastropoda; Stylommatophora; Helicidae.